Molecule: long non-coding RNA, 550 nt
Filed under: Bos mutus (wild yak)
Lineage: Eukaryota; Metazoa; Chordata; Mammalia; Artiodactyla; Bovidae
Description: lncRNA (ENSBMUG00000024407.1)
Source: RNAcentral
CGGGGCUGCGCCGGCCGCUUCCCAGCCAGGCUGAAAGGGCUCGGGAAGCUAGCUGGCCUUGUUGGCCCUUAAAUCGCACACUGGAUGGCCUGGCCCCAGCUACCCUCGCCGAGCCGCGCAAAGAAGGAUGCUCCUGGCUCUCGUCGGCCUCCCAGGUUUGCUUUCCUUCUUUUCCCGAAGGUGGGCCCUUAGGUUCACCCUCCGAAGCCUGCGGCCGCAGGGAAAGCCAAACCCCGAGUGUCCGGAGAGUAACCGGAAGUGCCCUCCCAGGCAGAGGGGCGGCGCCGGCUGCAGCCGGGGAGAGGCAAGAAUUGAGUAUUGUUAAUAACUGUGGACUGGAGACCUUUUGGAGCCAAAAGGAAGACAGUCUUGAGUCUUUCUUGUUACGGGUUGUAAAUACCACAUAAGGAACGAGUGCAUGUGAUGCUGGAAACUUGUAAAGAGGAACUGCUCAUGACUGAAAGGCCUAAGACAGAUGUAUCUUUCAAGUUCUUAUCGAGAAAAUGACUGUGAAGAAAAUGAUGGGUCAGGAAGACCAGUGGAAAACUCC